CGUCGUUAAGAUUCGUGGCGUCGACGUCCGUCUGUGAUUGAUCAGCGUACGUAUCCUUGUGCACAUAACAAUUGCCAGUCACAAAGUACAAGUCGUAGAAAAUUGCACUUUUGAUCGACUCUCUAUCUCCGUCAGGCGAAACACACCAAAAAAAAGUUCAAUCGAUGGAAAAUUGUUCCGGGAGUUAAAAGUGUGCUCGCCACGGUUCCUUAUUUUUCAUUUUACGGUCAGUUCAGGGAGUACGAAUUUUUCUUUUUUCAUUUUUUUAUCGUUCGUCAAUAUCGUAAUCGGAUACCGUCGAAUUUGUGAAAAUUAAUUUCUUGUGUUUUUCUCAUUAUUUCGUUCCGAUUGUGUGCUUAUGUAAAAAAGAAAGAAAAAAAAGUUAACGAACGUUUGUGUAUGAAAAUAACAUGGUCCCCCAGUUUGUUCUACAUUAAAAAAAAUAGAAACAAAAAUUAAGGUGAUUGCCACUUCUCAAUGAAAUUGCUUCCAAUUAUCCCAAUCUAGUCAAUUGAAUAAUAUUAUUUCUUGUGGAUGAAUCAAUAAAAAAAAGUCGUGGUUGAUUUGGUCGAGUUAAAAAUGAUUUUGUAACCAAACCAUCAAUGUCCCAUACAAAUAAAGUAACAAAUGCACCAAAUGAAAAAGAAAUUAAAGAAAUGCCUUAAAAUUGUUAAAACGUAAAAAAAGCUGAGAUAAAAUAAAUUGAAUGUAAACUUAGUGAAUAGUGAAUGUAAAAGUGAAAAAUAAAUAAAAAACGACAUCCAGUUAAGAAAUAUUUAACUUUUGAUUGAAUUAUUAAACCAGCAUAAAAAUUCCGACAAAAACGGCUUCACAAAAACCAACUUGGCGAAACCAAUCUAGGACCUCAGAUGUAACCGAAGAUGAAUACGGUGGCUCAGAGGAAGCUUCAUCGCGCAAGGGCAGAUUUCGUGUCACUUCAUCUUCCUCGUCAGGACCACCAGAGACAACACCCGGACGUUAUCGCUUAAAUCCACAAA
Long non-coding RNA from Bradysia coprophila, 998 nucleotides. RefSeq lists it as uncharacterized. The record is from RefSeq and is a predicted model, not a curated record. Lineage: Eukaryota; Metazoa; Arthropoda; Insecta; Diptera; Sciaridae.